Molecule: long non-coding RNA, 1542 nt
Organism: Apis florea (little honeybee)
Lineage: Eukaryota; Metazoa; Arthropoda; Insecta; Hymenoptera; Apidae
Source: RefSeq, a predicted model, not a curated record
UCGAUAGAAAGAAGAAGAAAAAUAUAAAAAGAAUAUUUCGUUCUUUUUUUUUUUUUUUUGUAAAUCCUCCCAUUAUUAAUACAGUUUUAUUUUCAGAAUUUUUGCGAUCGCGUGCAAUGCGGUCGAUAGACUCAGUGUUUGUUCCGUAACAGUUUUUUAUUAUUUUCGAAGCUUAAUAGCUUUAAUUAAAUAGUUACUUAUUAUAUUCGCGAAAUUAGAAUCAGUGUUUGUUCGCCGAUUGUAAAUUAGACGGACGCGUUAAUAGUUUAUUAUUUUUAUUUUUUUUUAAACAAUCGUUUUCGGUACAGAAUAGAAUCAGUGCUUCUGAAGAAAAAUAGGCGAUCAUCCAUCACGCGAAGAGGUGUCUGAAAAUCUUGGGGAAAAUUUUCUCUUGGAUUUCAAUUUUUAAACAAAAUUGUGAUCGCGCGCAAUGCGAUCUUUAGAAUCAGUGUUGUUGCGUAACAGUUUUUUAAUAUUUUAGAGCACAAAAUGUGUUCUAGUUAAAUUUAUUUACUUAAUUAAAAUAGUUAAAUUUAUAAUCGCGAAAUUAGAAUCAGUGCUUGUUCGUCGAUCGUAAAUUAGACGGACGCGUUAGUAGUUUUUUAUUUUUAUUUUUUUUUUAAAUAUUCGAUUUCGGUACAGGAUAGAGUCAGUGUUUCGGAAGAGAAUAAGGCAGUCAUCCUUCACGCGAAGAGUUUUCACUUCCUCCUUUGACGAUCGACAACCCAUAGAUCCUGAUGGUGAUAAUGCAGAAUCUUCGCAUCGAUUGGUGAGUCGCAUGCAUUUAUGUUCCUCCGAUUACUCAAUCAUGUCGUAGGAUGAAAGGUCCGAAUCGACACGGGUAAUUGGUUGUAUACGUAGAUUUUUGCACGAGCACAGUGACCGCGGGUAUUUAUUGUACCCGUGAAUAGUAACAAUUCUUUUCUUGUGUUUUAUUUAUCAGAUUAGGAUAGGACUUCUUGCACGUCGCGUUUUUAAUAAAAUGAUACUGAGAGUUAACUUUAUAUUAUUUAUAAAUUAUUUAUAAAUUAUUUUGAUAUAAUAUAAUAUAAUAUAAUUAUCAAUAUGAAUGAUAUAAAUAAUUAUUUUGAUUAUAUAUGGUUGAAAAUAAUUUUUGUAAUAAUUAUAACAUUUAUAAUACUUAUACAUUUACGUAUAAAAAUGAAUAUUGGAAUAAAUUAAAUCUCGUUUUAGUGAAGAAAUCGGAUGUCCUCCGAUUUCGUUACAAUAAAAGUAUGUAAUAAUAGUAUACAUUAUCGUUAUAAUAAUAUUAUAAUAAACGAGAGUUUUAACUUUAUUUUCUCGUCCGAUAUUUAAUUAUUUAAUUUAAAUUCGAUUUGAAACGUAAAACAAUUUUAUUUUCAUCGUACUAAAAAUAUGAAAUAUUACGUGCAAGAAGAUGCUUCGUGACAGGUAGAUUUCUUAAUCAAGUAAUAAUAAAUUUUGAAUAUAUCUUUAUUUUUAAAAAUUUGGCUUGAUGAAGAAAUCGCCUGAGGUUAUAUUUAUUAUUAUUCUAUUUAAAGUCAGUAAUUUCUUAUUAUU